Sus scrofa (pig) is the source of this 14660-nucleotide non-coding RNA. NCBI's taxonomy places the organism in Eukaryota, Metazoa, Chordata, Mammalia, Artiodactyla, Suidae. The record is from RefSeq and is a predicted model, not a curated record.
UCAAACCUGUGUUCUCAUGGAUACUAGUCAGGUUUUUUACCAAUGUGCCAUGACAGGAAUUCCAAGGCUUUCUUAUAUUCAGAUAUCUACAUAAUUAAUGUUUUCAAGUUUCUUAAAUUUACCUUGUUUUUGGCACAUAUGCAACCCAGAAAUUAACGAGUCCCUAGUAACACUACUAAGAACAGAUCUUCUUAUUUAUUUAGGAAUACUGUGUAUUUAAUGCUUUUAAUGAUGAGUGCCGUAUGUGUAUCCAAGUGAUUUGUCAUACGGUCCACCACUGCAUCAUUGACAGUGGGAUUUUUUUUCCAAGAGAGGAAGGCAUUUCUUUUUAGGGUUUGACCUUUCAGUUCUGCUCGUAACUAGGUAGUGUUGAUAGGAUCCAAAAUGAUACAGUUGACCAAGGGCAUCGUGAGGUGGACACCAGAAUAAUAAGUAUAUCAAACGCAUUCUCUAAAUGUGUUUCCAUGUUCAUGUCAGGUCAUGAUGGUUAGCCUAUCAAUGAAGUUAUCAUGGGAUGUGGCUGGUAUCUAGGUCAUACUAGCAUGUGGGCCUAAAUCACAUCACAGCCAUCUCUUCUUAAUGUACUUAGGUAGGUGAAGAUACUUGCAUUCCUAACUCUUCUGCUUAGCAUGAUUUUGUUGCAGGUAUUCUGGUAAGAAAUGCUAAGAGUCCACACCAAUUCCAGUAACCAUGACUUUAUGCUUUGUAUAUUUUAGUGGAAAUGUGUUCAAUCUUGCAAGUAUUGAAGAGUCAGUCAUAUCCAGGUAGUUACUGUGAAGUCUCCCCACUGUUAUAAUCAUUGGAUUUUUGCAGGUAUCCACUGAUCUCCCUGACAGCAGUGCUGACCUUGAAUGGAUGCAGAGAUCCAGGUAGAGAUGAUGUGUUCCAUAAUAACAGAGGCAAACAAGAUUAGGUGCUGGUGUUCUGGUAGAACAAGUUGUGCCUUAAACACAUUUGUUACAUGUAUUUCUUCUAGUUCCAGCUAAGAACAGGGUAAACCUAGCAAUGAUCACUACCAUAACCUUUUAGUAACCAGGUUAGUGUUAAAGUGAUCUUACAGCAAUGCAGACCAUCUGAACUUCAUUGUCUAGGUGAGUGAGGAUGGUGUCCCUAACAUUUGUGUUCUUGUCUUCUCUUUGCAGGUAUAAGGUUCAGAUCUUUGCUUGUGACACAGGUAUGGGAUGAUGUGAUAUUCACUAAUUAAAGACAUUCUUAUACUUAAAUGGCUACACAAUUCAUGAUUUCUCCUUUAUAUUUACUUUGUUUUUGACAUGUAAUCAGUUAGGAAUUUAACUUUCUCUAAUAAUACUAGUCAGAAUGGGAUUUUUUAUGUUUUUCUUUAAAGAUAUGCGUUGAGCAUAGUAGUGAUGGAUAGAUUUGCAGAGGGGACAUUGCUAAUGUCAAGGUCAGUGAUGAUGGAGCCUAAACCAGAGCAUAGGCCAUCAGAUCUCCAGGUAUCUGAGUAAGUGAUAAUGUGUUCUAACACUUCUUAUUACCAUGAUUUUUUUUUCAGGCAUCAGGGUAAAAAAUUAAAUAGAGUCCUUAUAAAUCUAGAAAACAAUAGUUUUCACUUUCUAUCUUAGAAAACGUUGAACACUCUUUGGUGUUGAGUGAUUGCACAUAUGCAGAUAUUUAAUAUGGUUUUCCCACCCAUAGUACUGCCCAUUGGUUUUUUUAAAGAUGUCCAGUCAAGAAGCCAUGGCUUCCCAACAUUGGUGUUGACCUUGGAUUAGUGCAAGUAUCCAGGUAGAGUUGAUGUGUGUCAUAAUGGUGAAGUGGCCAAAGUGUCCGGGUAGAAACAACACAUCUCAUGUCUUUUCCAGGUUCCUGUCCAAACAUCACUUUAAACUGAGCAUUGAUGUUCUGGGGACACAGUUGAGGUCCAGGAGAUGGACAUUCCUUCUGGUGGUCAUUCUCUGGGGACAUUUCUGGUGUCCAGGUAAGUAAUGAUGUUUACUUCCCCAAACAGACCAUCUCAUCUUUACAUAUCUGGGUCACUGUUAGAAUUAACUAAACUUAUUUAAAAUGUGGGGUUUUUUUUCCAGGUAAUCAGGUAAGAAAUGACGGUAUUUUUACCAAUCGUACCAAUCCUGAUAUGCUAUUGUGAAAUUUUAGAGAAAAUGUUCUCUUAGUCAUGGGUGAGUUGGAUAUCCACGUCAUGAUGAUGGAAUUGUGUGGCAUGUAGUAACCAUGGUACUUAUGCAGGUGAGCUGGGAAGAGGUGAUGGAAGAGGUGAUGGUACUUAUGCAGGUGAGCUGGCUUAGAUCUUGGAGUCCUGCAUGAAGCCAGGGAGAAGCAAUGGGUCCUGCAGUGACGGCCACGCACAAGGUUAUUUGAGCUAUCCUAGUAAAAAUGAUGCAUCCAUAGACUUAAUUGUCAUAAACGGUUUUCACAUUCUUGUCAGAAGUCACGGUGAAUCUCAAAAUGAUCAUGACUGGGACUUUGUCUCCCAGUAAGAGAUGCUUUGGGCCUUUAGCACUUACAAUCCUAUCUUCAAAUAUGUAGGUAGCUGUGAAGGGUGUUCCUAACUAUACUGUUACUGUGAGUUUUUUUAAAAGCAGAUAUUCAUUUAAGAAAUGACAUUGUCCCAACCAGUGUUAGUGCGUAUUGGCCUUUUUUUUUUUUUUAAAGAAUUUUGAUAUUAAUGCGUGUUUAAACUUAGUUGUAACAGAGGGUUAUACGCAGGUUCAGGUAAGUUAUUCUACUUUUGCCAUCUUAGUGAAAUUUCUACAGGUUCUCCUAGAAGAGAUGACAGUGUGCCUCACAAUGGUGUUGACCUUAAAGUUCUUCUAAAUCCAGGUAUUGCUUACACUUCCCCUAACGAUGCAUGCGACCAAGAUUAUCUGCAAAGGUAUUUAAUUUAAAGGUAUCAAGCAUGUCCUUUAACACAGUUGUGAAACGUGUUUCUCAAGGUUCUAGGCAUAAUCAUGACAUCACUAUGAACCAAAUGAUAGCUGUCAGUGGGACCUUGCUAGAAACCAUGUGGGCGAUAAAGUGGCUCUUAGCCUAGUACAGAUCAUUAGAUGUUCAGAUAUUAAGGCAGAUGAGAAUGGUGUUCUAACACAGUGUCCCAUGCCUUUUUGUAGGUUUCCCAUUAAGUUCUUUAUUGAGUGUACAUGUAAGAGAUGGUAUAUUAAUUUGUUAGAUACCUUCUUAUUUUCAGAUAUGCAGGUACGUAAUGGUGUUUUGAAGACUCUUAAAUUGACCUGGCUAUAGUAUGAAGCAUUUCAGAAAUUAUUUUGUCCAUCAUAGUAUUAAUAAGCAUGAGAAAUUGCUAUGUUCUUGUUCAGGGAUCAUUUUUUUUAUACUACUGUGAUGUUAUCCAGGUAAUUUAUUGUAUUUUCCAUCCCUACGAUAUUGAUGUUGGGAUUUUCAGGUAUCCCUUAAAAAGAGGAAGUUUUAUUAUGAGGGUUUGACCUUGGAUUUGUGCAGUCACCCAGAUAAGGUUUGUGCAUCCCUAAAUGGUAGAAAUGAUCCAUGGAAAUUGCAGGUGCACAGGUGAAAUGAGAUGUGUGUUGAACACAUUUUGUACAAUGUGUUUUUCAGAGUCAUGUCAAGAUAUCUAGGUGAGCUUAUCAAUGGCAGUUAACAUGUGACCAGGCUGGUGUCAAGGUAAGUAAUGGCCUGGGCCUAAAGCACAGCACAGACCAUCUGACCUUCAUAUAUCCAGCUAAGGGAUGGAUGAUGUGUCCUCACACUUAUGUUACCAUAUUUUAUGCAUGUAUUCAGGUAAGAAAUGAGGGAGUUUUACUAAUUCUAGAAAACAUGACAUUUCACUUUUUAUAUGAGAAAAAGUUGAAAUGUCCCCUGUGAGUAUUUAUGGAUGACACCUACCUAGAUAUUAAUCACGGUGUCCCUACCCCAGUACUAUCCAUAGAUUUUGUGCAGGUGUCCAGGGAAGUACUGGUGAUUUUAGCUGAAAUCAGUAUUAAUCUUUGAUUACUGAAAAUAUCCAGGUAUGGUUGGAGUCUUCCAUAAUAACUAAGUGACCAGGUUAUUUGCAGAUAUCCUGGCAGAAAAAAUUGUGUAUUUCCCACAGCUUUUGUCAUGUUUUUUUAUAUUCAUGUGCAGACAUUACUCUGAACCUGGCAUUGACGUUCACUGGGGACAGUGUUGGGAUGCAGGUAACAGGUGAUGUUGACCUAAAUCAUGGCACAGGCCGCAUGUUAUCCAUGUGGCCAGGUAAAUGAUGAUGGUGUCUCUAAGAGUUGUUAUUAACAUGAUUUCUUUGCUGGCAUCCAGGCAGGAAAUUAUCGAGUCCUUCCCAGUUCUAAAAACAAUUCAUUUUCACCUUUUGUAAUUUAGAGAACAUUGUGAUUAAACCCUGUGAGUGUCGAGGCAUUGCCAUUUCCAGGUAAUGAUCAUGAUGUUCUCAACCAGCAGUAACCAUGGCAAUUAUGCAGGUGGUACAUAAAGAGAAAUCAUUUUAUCUGGCAAUGGUUUAGAGCUCGGAGUACUGCGAGUGUGCAUUUGGAAUCAAUGUCCUCAUAAUGAGGAGUGACCAAGGUUACUGGCCGUGUCCCAGUAGAAUAAUUACAUCCCUUUACGUAUACAUCAUAAUGUCUUUUUUAGGGUCCUUUCGGGUGGUCUCUGUGAACCCGACAGUGGUCAUUAAUGGGCAACAUUUCUGGUCUCCAGAUGUGUCAUGAGAUGUACCUUCUCUGCAUCUGACUCGGGAUCUUCAUGUAUCUAGUUAAGUGGUGUUGAUUGCUUGAACUUGUUUUAUCGUAUGGUGUUUUUCAGGUAUUCGGGUAGAAAUGACAAUAGUGUUUUUACCAAUUUUAGCAAAUAUAUUACCUUUAUUAUAUUUAUGAAGAAAUUUUGGCUUAAUCAUGUCAAUGUUGAGCGAUCCAUGGGUAUUCAUGUAAGAAAUAUGGAGUUUGGGGUCACCUAAGUUACCAUGGAUUUUUGCAGAGAAACAGUCAAAACAUGGUGGUGUCUGACAGUGGCGUGGAUUCCAGGUAGAGUUGAUGGGUCCUAAAGUGAAGGAAGUGACAAGGUAAUGUGUAGUGUCAUCUUAGCAAAGGUAUUGUGUAGACACAUUUAUCACAAUUUGUUUUUCAGGUUUCUGUUAAGAAAUCAUGGUAAACCUGAUAAUGGUCAAUAAUGGCACUUUGCUUUUAUUUGGCUAAGUGAUGAUGUGAGUCUUUGGUCCCCUACAGAUCAUCUCCCCAUCUGAUAUGUAGGUUUGUGUGGAUGGUUUACCUAACUUUUCUGUUAGUAUAGUCUGUUAGUAUGUUUUUUUGUUUGUUUGUUUGUUUUUUACAGCUAUUCUGUUAAGAAACAGUGUUGUCCCAAACAAUGCUGGUAACCACUUUAGAGUUUAGAUGUAAUGUUUGUUUGACCUUAGUGGUGAUGAACGGGUGUCCAGGUAAGUUGUCCUACUAUUCCACACCAACCAAGAGAGUUUUACAGGUGCUCAGACAAGAGAUGAUCAUUUCCUUAACAAUGAGGUUGACUUUGACAUUCUUCCUGGAUCCACAUAGUAUUGAUGGAUCCCCUGAUGAUAGAAAUAACCAGAAUUAAUUAGAGGUAUCCUUUAGGCCAAACAAUUUUUUCUUUAAACACCCUUGUCAAAUGUGUUCUUACCAGGUUAUAUUAAUGAUGACAUUACAGCGAACCUAGUAAUGAUCAUUAAAGGCACCCUGCUAGUAUUGAGGAUCUUACACCGCAAUAGAGACCAACUGGUCUUCAGAUGUCAAAGUAAGCAAGGAUGAUGUCCCAAACCCCAAACCCAUUGAUAGCAUGUUUUUUUCCUGCAGAUACCCUGUUGAAGUGUUCGUUAGUGUAAAGGUAUGAGAUGUCACAUUAAUUCAUUAGACCUGUGUAUUUUCGGAUAGGUAGAUAAUGAAUGAUAUUUUGAAGACUCUUUACAUUUUAACUUAUAGUUAACUGUAUUAACUAUAUUUUUGGCUUGUAUGCAGUAUGAUAUUAAUUUGUCCUUUACAAUGCUACUAAGCACGAUAUUUUCUUAUAUUCAUGUUCCAAAAUACCGUUUUAUCCACUCAUAGAGAUAAAAGGAUAUAUAGAUAUAUCCUUUCAUACUGUUCAUCACCACAGUGCAGACCAUGGAAUUUCGACAUAGCUCUUCAAGAGAAGAAGGUAUCUAUCACCUACUAGGGUUUAGUCCUAGACUUCUACAAGGAUGCAAGAGAUGGUAAUGGGUCUCACAGUUAUGCAAUGGACCAGGGCAUCUGAAGGUGGACACUAGAAUAAUACAUAUAUCAAAUGCAUCGUCUAAUUAUGUUUUCAGGUUCAUGUCAAGACGUGAUGAUGAGCCUAUUAAUGUAGUUCACGUUGCUGAUAUCUAGGCGAGUGAUGGUGUGGGCCUAUCCCGCAUCACAGACCAUCUCUUUUUCGUGUACAUAGGUAAGUGAAGAUGCUCGCAUUCCCAACAAUUCUUGUUAGCAUGAUUUGAUUGCAGGUAAGAAAUGCUAAGAGUCCAUACUAAUUCCAGUAGCCAUGACUUUAUGCUUUGUAUAUUUUAGUGGAAAUGUGUUCAAUCUUGCAAGUAUUGAAGAGUCGGUCAUAUCCAGGUAGUUGUCGUAAAGUCUCCCCACUGUUAUAAUCAUUGGAUUUUUGCUGGUAUCCAGUUAAGUGACACUAAUCUCUUCUGACAGCAGUGCUGACCUUGAAUGGAUGCAGAGAUCCAGGUAGAGAUGAUGUGUUCCAUAAUAACAGAGGCAAACAAGAUCAGGUGCCAGUGUCCUGAUAGAACAAGUUGUGCCUUAAACACACUUGUUGUGUGUAUUUCUUGGAGAACAGGGUGAGCCUAGCAGUGAUGACUAAUAUCUUUCUACUAACCAGGAAAAUGUGAAAGUGGGUCUUACCAAGGUGCCACAAUGCAGACCAUCGAACUUCACUGUCUAGGUGAGUGAGAAUGGUGUCCCUAACAUUUGUGUUCCUGUCUUUUUUUGCAGGCGUGAGGUUCAGAGAUGAUGUGAUAUUCGCUGAUUAAAGACAUUCUUAUAUACAGAUGGCUACAUAACUCAUGAUUUUAGUCUUUUAUGUUCACUUUGUUUUUGACAUGUAAUCAGGAAUUUAAUUUUCCCUAAGAACUCUAGUCAGAAGGAGAUUUUUUCGUAUAUUGUGUAAAGGUAAAUUGUAUCAAGCAUCGUAGUGAUGGACAGGUUUGCAGAGGUGACAUCGCUAGUGUCAAGGUCAAUGAUGAUGGAGCCUAAACCAGAGCACAGGCCAUCGGAUCUCCAGGUAUCUGAGUAAGUGAUGAUGUGUCCUAACACUUCUUAUUACCACAAUUUUUUUUCAGGCAUCAGGGUGAAAAAUAAUAGAGUCCUUAUCAAUCUAGAAAACAAUAGUUUUCAUUUUAUAUUUUAGAAAGAGUUGAGCACUCUUUGGUGUUGAGUGAUUGCACAUAUGCAGAUAUUUAAUAUGGUUUUCCCACUACAGUACUGCCAUAGUUUUGUUUUCUUUUUAAACAGUUGUCCAGUCAAGAAACUCUGGCUUCCCAACCUUGGUGUUGACCUUGGAUUAGUGAAAGUAUCCAGGUAGAGUUGAUGUGUCUCAUAAUGGUGAUGUGAUCAAGGUGUCUGGACAGAAAGGAUACAUCUUGUGUAUUUUCCAGGUUCCUAUCCAGAUAUCACUCUGAAACAAGGAUUGAUGUUAAUGGUGGCCACUGUUGGGGUCCAGGUUCCUGUCAAGAGAGAGACAUUCUGGUGGUUGUUCUCUGGGGACAUUUCUGUGCCCAGGUAUGUAAUGAUGUGCACCUUCCCCUAACAGACAUCUCAUCUUCUCAUAUCUAGGUCAGUGUUAGGAUUGAAUAAACUUAUUUACCAUGUGUUUUAUUUUCAAGAAGUCAGGUAAGAAAUCAUAGUAUGUUUACCAGUUGUAGCAAUCCUGAUAUGCUACUGUCUGUGAUCUUAGAGAAAAUGUAUGCUUAGUCAUGGGAGUGUUGAGUGGCUGGUGGGUAUCCACACCAUGACAGUGGAAUUGUGUGGUACACUAGUAACCAUGGUGCUUUGGCAAGUAAGCUGGGAAGAGAUGAUGCUGUGUCGAAAUUUGGCAUAGAUCUUGGAGUCCUACAUGAAUCCAGGGAGAACCGAUGGGUCCUGCAGUGAUGGCCACCCAUAAGGCUGUUUGAAAUUUCCUGGUAGAAAAGGUACGUCCAUAGACAUAUCUGUCACAAAAGGCUUUUUACAGUCUGGUCAAGAAGUCAUGGUGAAUCUCAAAAUGAUCUUGAAUGGAACUUUGCUUCUCUCCAGAUAAGUGUUGCUAUGGCAUUUAGCACCUAUAAUAUGAUCUUCAGAUAUGUAGGUCUGAGGGAGGGUGUUCCUAAUUAUUCUGUUACCAUCUUGUUUUAUUUAAGCAGCUAUUCAUUUAAGAAGUGGCAUUUUCCAUCACAACCUUGUAGAUCAACUAUAGUUCAGUAAAACUUUAAAAAAUGGGGAAAAAAAAGAAAUUGACGUAGUCACAACUAGUGCUUGUAAGUAUUUGCCUUUUUUUUUUUUAAAGAUUUUUGAUAUAGUGUGUAUUUAAACUUAGUAGUAACAGAGGGUUAUUCAGGUCCAGGUAAUUUAUUCUACUUUUGCAGUGUUAACCAUGACAUUUCUACAGAUUCUCCUAGAAGAGAUGAUACUGUGCCUCACAAUGGUGUUGACCUUAAAGUUCUUCCAAGGUUCAUAUAGUGCAUACGCUCCUCUAAUGAUGGAAGCAAGCAAGAUUAUCUUCAAAGGUACUUAUUUGGCAGAUAAAUAAGAAUGUCCUUUAACACAGUUGUCUAAUGCAUUUCUCAAGGUUCUAGUCAGCAUCGUGAAUAUAAUUAACCAAAUAAUAGUUGUCAGUGGGACCUUGUUAGAAACCAGGUUGGUGAAAAGGUGGCUUCCAGCCCAGUACAGAUCAUUAGAUGUUCAGUUAUCGAGCACGUAAGAAUGGUGUCUAACACAGUGCACCACACUUUUUUGUAGGUUUCCCAUUACUUUCUUUGUCUAGUGUACAGGUAUGAGAUGAUGUGACAUUAAUUCAUUAGAUACCAUCUUUUCUUCAGAUACGUAGUUAGUGAUGUUGACCUUGAAGAUCUUUCAAGAUCCACAGAGUAUCAAGGAUUCCCCUGAUGAUAGAAAAAUAACCAGAAGUAAUUACGUGUAUUCUUCAGGUAAAACAUUUUUUUCCUUAAAACCCUUGUCAGUUGUGUUCUUACAUGUUAUAGUAGUGAUGACCCUAUAGCAGACCUAGGAAUGGUCAUCAAUGGGACCCUGCUAGUAACCAGGUAAGUGAUAUUGAGGGUCUUGCAGCCCAGUAUAGACCAUCUGGUCUUCAGAGAUGUCUGUGUAAGUGAGGAUGAUGUCCCCAACACCAGACACAGUGAUACUGUGUUUUUUCCUGCAGGUACCCUGUUAAAGUGUUUGCUAGUAUGAAGGUAUUUUCAGAUAAAUAAGGAAUAAAUGAUAUUUUGCAGACACUUUAUAGUUUAUCUUACACUUAACUAUAUUAACUAUAUUUUUGGCUUGUAUGCAGUAAAGCUAUUAAUCUGUCAUUAACAUACUCGUAAGCAUGAUAUUUUCCUACAUUCGAGUUCCAAAAUACCAUUUUACCCACCUCUACUGACAAAAGGAUAUGCAGAUAUCCAGGAAAUUUAUCAUACUGUUCAUCACCGCAAUAUAGACCGUAGAAUUUCGAGGUAGCCUUUCAAGAGAAGAAGGCAUCUCUUACUAAGAUUUAGUCCAGGUAAUGGCGAUGAGUCUCACAGUUAUGCAGUGGAACAAAGGGAUCUGAAGGUGGACACUAGAAUGAUAUGUACUUCAAGCACAUCCUCUAAAUGCGUCUUCAGGUUCGUGAUGGUAAGCAUCUCAAUGUAGUUAAAGUUGCUGGUAUCUAGGUGAGUGAUGGUGUGGGCCUAACCCACAUCAUAGACCAUCUCUGCCUCAUGUAUGUGGGUAAGUGAAUAUGCUUGCCUUCCUAACACUUCUUCUUAAAAAGAUUUUUUUGCAGGUAUUCAGCUGAGAAAUACUAAGAGUUCAUACUAAUUCCAAUAACCAUGAGUUUACGCUUUGUGUAUUUUAGUGAAAAUAUGUUUUAUCUUGUAAGUAUUGAGGAGUCAGUUAUGUUCCCAGUAGUUGUUGUGAAGUCUCCUCACUGUUGUAACCAUUGGAUUUUUACAGGAAUCCAGGAAAGUGAUACUGAUCUCUUCUGACAGCAGUGUUGACCUCGAAUGAAUGCAGAGAUCCAGGUAGCAAUGAUGUGUUCCAUGAUAACGGAGGUGCACACGGUUAGAUGCAGGUGUCCUGGUAGAACAGUGUUUGUCUUACACAGAUUUGUUGCAUGUAUUUCUUCAGGAUCCUGUUAAGACAACAGGGUAAACCUAGCAGUGUGAUGACUAACAAAAGCUUUCUAGUAACCAGGUAAGUGUGAAAGUGGGUCUCACCACAGUGCACACCAUCUGAACUUCAGGGUCUAGGUGAAUGAGGAUGGUGUCCCUAAUAUUUGUGUUCAUGUCUUCUUUUUGCAGGUGUCAGGUUCAGAUCUUUCCUUGUCACACAAGGAUGAGAUGAGGGGAUAUUCACUAAUUAAAGACAUUGUUAUAUUCCGAUGGCUACGUGAUUCAUGAUCAGUCUUUUAUAUUUACUUUGUUUUUGGCAUGUUAUCAGAUUUGGCUUUCCAACAUUGGUAUUGACCUUGAAUUACUGCAAGUAACCAGGUAGAGUUGAUGUGUCUCAUAAUGGUGACGUGACCAAGAUGUGUAGGUAGAAAGGACACAUUUCCUAUCUUUUACAGGUUCGUGUCCACACAUCACUCUGAACUGAGCAUUAAUGUUAACAGGGGACACGGUCGGGGUCCAGGUUUAUGAUGAUUGUGACCCUGUCACUUGUUACCAUGGCUUCUCUGCAGGUAUUCAGGUAAUGGUUGGUUCCUUACCAAUUCUUAAUACCAUGAACUUUCAGUUUUCAUGCUUUAGAGAGUAUCUUUAACUCUGUGACUCAUGAGCAAUUACACAUAGCAGGUAUUGAUUAUGAUUGCUCAAGCACAGUAGUGAUCAUGGAAUUUCUGCAGGUAUCUUGUAAAGAAGUGUUAUUUCCUGACAAGGGUCAUGCCCUAGGAGAACUGCAAAUAUUCAAGUAGAGUUGAUCAUAAUGCUGUCAAUGACGGAGCUUGUUUGCAAGUGUCCUAGUAGAGUAAGCUAUGUCCUUUUAUACGUGUAUCAUAAUGUGCUUUUCAGGUUCUGCCAAGAGAUGAAUAUUCAUUCUGAUGGUCAUUCUCUGGGGACAUUUCUUUGUCUGGGUAGGUAAUGAUGUGCACCUUUCCCAGCAGACAUUGCAUCUUCUCAUAUCUAGGUCUCUGUUCGGAUUGACUAAAUUUACUUAUCAUGUGGAUUUUUUCAGGUAAUCAGAUAAGAAAUGAUAGUAUUUUUACCAAUGGUAGCAAUCCUGAUAUGCUGCUGUUUGCAAUUUUAGAAAAAAAAUGUAUGCUUACUCAUGGGAGUGUUCAGUGGCUCUUGAAUAUCCACAUCAUGAUGGUGGAAUUGUGUGGCACAGCAGUAACCAUGGUGCUUUUGCCAGGGGGCUGGGAGGAGACGCUGGCGUGUCGAACUUUGGCACAAAGCUUGGAGUCCUGCAUGAAGCCAGAGAGAACCGAUGGGUCCUACAGUGAUGGCUACACACAGGGUUAUUUGAAGAGUCCUAGUAGAAAUUGUGCCUCCAUACACAUAACUGUCACAAGGGGCUCUUUGCAUUCUAGUCAAGAAAUCACAGUGAAUCUGAAAAUGAUCCUGAAUAGGCCUUUGAUGUCUCCAGAUAUUCAUUUCAGAAAUUAAUCACAAACUUGUCAGAUUCCCUGUUGUGGCUCAGUGGUAAUGAACCUGACUAGUAUACAUGAGGACUCAUGUUCGGUCCCUGGCCUCGCUCAGUGGGUUAAGGAUCCGGCGUUGCUAUGGUGAGCUACAGUGUAGGUCGCAGACAUGGCUCGGAUCUGUCGUUGCUGUGGCUGUGGCUUAGGCUGGUGGCUGUAGCUCCAGUUUGAGCCCUAGCCUGGGAACUAUGCUGUGGUUGUGGACCUAAAAAGACCAAGAAAAAAAAAGAAAAGAAAUGACUCAUAAACUUGUAAAUCACCUAUAUUUCAAUUAAACUUUUAAAAAUGAAGAAAAAAGGAAGUGACAUUGUUCCAACCAGUGUAGUAAGUAUUUUUCCCUCUCUCCCCCCUUUUUAGAAUUUUGAUAAAAUGUGCAUUUAAACUUAGUAGUGACGGAGGGUUAUGAAGGUCCAUGUAACUUACUCUGUCGUUGCAGCCUUAACCGUGGGAUUUUUACAGUUUCUCCUAGAAGAGAUGCUACUGUGCCUCUCAAUGGUGUUGACCGUAAAGUUUUUCUAAGAUCUGGGUACUGCUUAUGCUUCCCCAGUGAUGGAAGUAACCAAAAUAAGUGACCAAGGUACUUAUUUUGCAGGUAAGCAAGUUUCUUCUUUAGCACAGUUGUAGAACUCGUUUCUCAAGGUUCUGGCAGUCAGCAUAACAUGACAGUGAACCAAAUAAUAGUUGUCAGUGGGACCUUGCUAGAAACCCGGUAUGUGAUAAAGUAGAUCUUACCCCAGUGCAGGUCAUUUGAUGUUGAGAUGUUGAGGCAAAUGAGAAUGGUGUCCCUAACACAGUGUACCAUGCUUUUUUUGUAGGUUUUCCCUUUAAAUUCUUUGCCAGGCGUACAGGUAUGAAGGUAUGAGAUGAUAUUAUAUCAAUUCGUUAGAUGCCUUCUUAUUUUCAGAUGUGCAGGUACGUCAUGAUGUUUUGAAGACUCUUACAUUAACCUGGUUUUGGCAUGGAGCAUUUCAGAAAUGAAUUUCUGCCUUAUAAUAUUAGUAAGCUUGAGAAUUACUGUAGUCUUGUUCAGGGAUUUAUUAUUUUUUUAACACUACUGUGAUGGUAUCAGGUUAAUUUAUUACAUUUCCCAUCCCUGUAAUAUUGACCAUGGAAUUCUUGCAGGUGUCCCUUCAAAAGAGGAAGUUUCUCUUAUUAAGGUUUGACCUUGGUAUUCUGCCGUCCCCCAGGUAAGGUUUGUGCAUCCCUAAAUGGUAGAAAUGAUCCAUGGAGUUUGCAGGUGCACAGGUGAAAUGAGAUGUGUGUUGAACACAUUUUGUACAAUGUGUUUUUCAGAGUCAUGUCAAGAUAUCUAGGUGAGCUUAUCAAUGGCAGUUAACAUGUGACCAGGCUGGUGUCAAGGUAAGCAAUGGCCUGGGCCUAAAGCAUAGCACAGACCAUCUGACCUUCAUAUAUCCAGCUAAGGGAUGAUGUGUCCUCACACUUAUGUUACCAUAUUUUAUGCAUGUAUUCAGGUAAGAAAUGAGGGAGUUUUACUAAUUCUAGAAAACAUGACAUUUCACUUUUUAUAUGAGAAAAAGUUGAAAUGUCCCCUGUGAGUGUUGAAGGAUCCCACGUAUAUAGAUAUUAAUCAUGGUGUCCCCACUCCAGUACUAGCCAUAGGUUUUGUGCAGGUGUCAAGGGACGUACUGGUGAUUUUAGCUGACAUCAGUAUUGGUCUUUGAUUUGACAAUAUCCAGGUAGGGUUAGAGUAUUCCAUAAUGACUAAGUGACCAGGUUAUUUGCAGUUAUCCUUAUAGAAAUAGUUGUCCUUCCCACAGCUUUUGUCAUGUCUUUUUCAUGUUCCUGUCCAGGCAGUACUCUUAAUCUGGCAUUGAUGUUAACAGGUGCACAGUUGGGAUGCAGGUAAGUGGUCAUAUGGGCGUAAAUCACGGCACAUGCCAGGUGAUCUCCAGGUAGCCAGGUAAAUGAUGAUGGUGUCUCUAAGAGUUGUUAUUAACAUGAUUUCUUUGCUGGCAUCCAGGCAGGAAAUUAUCGAGUCCUUCCCAGUUCUAAAAACAAUUCAUUUUCACCUUUUGUAAUUUAGAGAACAUUGUGAUUAAACCCUGUGAGUGUCGAGGCAUUGCCAUUUCCAGGUAAUGAUCAUGAUGUUCUCAGUAACCAUGGCAAUUAUGCAGGUGGUACAUAAAGAGAAAUCAUUUUAUCUGGCAAUGGUUUAGAGCUCGGAGUACUGCGAGUGUGCAUUUGGAAUCAAUGUCCUCAUAACGAGGAGUGACCAAGGUUACUGGCCGUGUCCCAGUAGAAUAAUUACAUCCCUUUACGUAUACAUCAUAAUGUCUUUUUUAGGGUCCUUUCGGGUGGUCUCUGUGAACCCGACAGUGGUCAUUAAUGGGCAACAUUUCUGGUCUCCAGAUGUGUCAUGAGAUGUACCUUCUCUGCAUCUGACUCGGGAUCUUCAUGUAUCUAGUUAAGUGGUGUUGAUUGCUUGAACUUGUUUUAUCGUAUGGUGUUUUUCAGGUAUUCGGGUAGAAAUGACAAUAGUGUUUUUACCAAUUUUAGCAAAUAUAUUACCUUACUUUACUAUAUUUACAAAGAAAUUUCGGUUUAAUCAUGUCAUUGUUGAGUGAUCCAUGGAAAAAAUUACGUGGAUACCUAUAUACUUGCUUUUAUCUCUGGAGGGGAUAAAAUGGUAUUUUGGAACAGAAAUAUAGGAAAAUAUCACGCUUACUAGUGUUGUUAAGGGCAGUACUUGUACUGCAAACAAGCCAAAAAAUAUAGUUAAUAUAGUUAACUAUAAGUUAAAGCAUAAAGAGUCUUAAAAAUGUCAUUUGUUACAACAUAUGUGAAAGUAGGUCUAAUGAAUUAAUGUGACAUCUCAUACGUUGACACUAGCAAACACUUUC